GUGCCAGCAGCUGCGGUAAUACGUAGGUGGCAAGCGUUGUCCGGAUUUAUUGGGCGUAAAGCGAGCGCAGGCGGUUUCUUAAGUCUGAUGUGAAAGCCCCCGGCUCAACCGGGGAGGGUCACUGGAAACUGGGAGACUUGAGUGCAGAAGAGGAGAGUGGAAUUCCAUGUGUAGCGGUGAAAUGCGUAGAUAUAUGGAGGAACACCAGUGGCGAAGGCGGCUCUCUGGUCUGUAACUGACGCUGAGGCUCGAAAGCGUGGGGAGCGAACAGGAUUAGAUACCCUGGUAGUCCACGCCGUAAACGAUGAGUGCUAAGUGUUGGAGGGUUUCCGCCCUUCAGUGCUGCAGCAAACGCAUUAAGCACUCCGCCUGGGGAGUACGACCGCAAGGUUGAAACUCAAAGGAAUUGACGGGGCCCGCACAAGCGGUGGAGCAUGUGGUUUAAUUCGAAGCAACGCGAAGAACCUUACCAGGUCUUGACAUCCUUUGACCACUCUAGAGAUAGAGCUUCCCCGUUCGGGGC
RNAcentral lists this ribosomal RNA (523 nucleotides) under uncultured bacterium. Its description in RNAcentral is "bacterial SSU rRNA". It matches the Rfam family "Bacterial small subunit ribosomal RNA", at positions 505 to 1027 of the family's 1533-position model. The record is from RNAcentral.